RNAcentral lists this unclassified non-coding RNA (4193 nucleotides) under Pomacea canaliculata. RNAcentral describes it as "uncharacterized LOC112573680, transcript variant X2". Lineage: Eukaryota; Metazoa; Mollusca; Gastropoda; Architaenioglossa; Ampullariidae. The record is from RNAcentral.
CAAAGAGGAACGGACUGACUUAUUGAGGAACGUCGUCAGUCCAGCUGCAAAACAUAAAAACAGACCAGCAGUUCUGUUCAACAGAUCUAUAUGCAAUGACAUCAAAUGACUGGACUGAGUAGCAGCAAGCGGUUAGGGUUCAGGUCAUGAAAGAAUUGUUGCCUGCUGAUUCGUGCGGAAAUUCGCCAUAACGAACACACAUGAUCAAGAACAGCAACUCUGAGUUCUUCUGUGUGGUGUUACAAGGGGCCUCUUCUCCAGCACCUUGGCGACUCACUGGCGUCAUUGAUCAUGUAGUCUGCAGGUGUGCACCCGAGUCCUCGCGAUGUUGUUUGUGCCAACACCAUUCAGUGCAUGCAAUUACCAGAAGGAUCUUAUGCAAGUUCUAAAAAAAAAAAACACCAGUUGUAUCAUCAUGUAUAUAUCUUAUUGCAAGAAUGUCAUCAGUUGAGAUUAUAAGGAGAAGGUUGCUGUGCCAUUGAAGUUCUGGAGAGCUAGGAUGGUGACUUUUCUGGCAAUGAUUGUAGGACAAGAAGGAUUUUCUUGGAUCUUGGAGGUGACUGGUAUGAUAAAAUGACUUAAAAACCUAGUGUUAAUAUGUCAUGAAGUUCCAUUCCACCCACGGCAGGGCUAUUACCCUGUUAGAUAACCGCAUGCAUGCUGUGCGAGAUGGUGCCACCUUUGGCAAUGGCAUUGUCUUUGGUGACCAACCACUUCUUGUUGGUCAGAAGGUUUGUUUGAAGAUGGGAUGUGUAUUCACUUGGAGUGGAGCUCUUCGCAUUGGUGUUACUACUCACAAUCCAGCCAGAUUAGCAGUUGAACAAUUACCGAAGUAUGUGUAUCCAGACUUAACAUCUAAAGAAGGGUUCUGGGCCAGAGCAGUCCCAGAAAAGAUGGUAAGCUCAGGAUGUCGGGUGAUGGUGUAUUUGACCAGUUCUGGCCACAUGCAGAUUUUUAUUAAUGGGCAGCAUAUGGGUGUCUUGCUGACAGAUCUGCCCACCAACCAAACCCUGUGGCUAUUGAUGGACAUCUAUGGAAAUACAACCAGCUUGAUGUUUGUGGAACCUGAAAAUGCACCCAGAGAAAUACUUGCACGAGGUCUGGAAGCGGUACAAGCCUAUGACCAAUCCUGUGGUAGCGGUGUGCAGCCUGUCUUUCGCACACGGCUGAUGUUGGUAGGCAAAGACAGAGUGGGCAAAACAAGUCUUAAACGAGCCAUAACAGGACAACAACAUAAUUCCGCUGAACAAAGUACAGAUGGUAUUGACCUGUCUGCCUCAUGCUCCUUCAGUUUAUCAAAUCGGUCAUCAUGGAAAUUAGCCAUCAGAGGGGAUAAUGUUCUUAACGAGGAAAGUCAGCCUGAAAGGCAUGACUUGGGCAUUAUAGGGGGUCCAGGUGGUCUAGAGGAAGAGUACAACUAUGCCAUUGCUUCAAACAUCGUUCAAGAAUUGUUGUUGCAGUCACGACAGCAGGAGACAGCUGGAAGUGAUACCAAAAUCUCUGGUCUUCACUCUUCAGCCAGCAUUCUCAACACAGGCUUGUGUCCCUUACACAGUUCUGUCCCAAGCAGUAGUUUAUCUACACCUAAAACCAAUAAGAAGAAUACUUCAUCUUUGCCCCAUCAGACUUUGGACAAAAGGCUUGAAGAAUGCAUGCCAGAGUUUUCACCACAAGUUCCAGAAAGAGUGGUCACAUUGGUGCAUGAGAUGCUGAACACCUUCCUGUCAAGAAAGGAGUCAGGGGUAACAGAAGAUUCAAGAAAACAACCUCUCCAGAAGGACAAGACUGUUGUUUUGAAUAUCUGGGACUUUGCAGGCCAGGCAGCUUAUUACACAACACAUCAGGUGUUUCUUACUAGUAGAGCCGUGUAUGUGAUUGUCUUCAACCUAUGCGAUGAUUUUAUUUUUCCUUCAGAAGAUGAUGACCAGAAUGAGAAUGAGUUAUCAACCCUAGAAUACAUGGACUUCUGGAUGCGUUCUAUUCAUGCACAUGCAGCGGAAAAUACUUCUGAUGAUGUAGACAAUACCACCUUGUCCCCACCAAUCUUUGUAGUAGGCACACAUCGUAACAGUCUCCAUGAGAAUCCUGAAGUACAAGCAGAGAUGGUGGAUGAGAAGUUUAGUGAACUUCGAGAAUUUCUGGCUGACAAACCAUACACACGACAUUUGGUGACACCAUUCUAUGCAGUGGAAAACAGUCUACCUUAUGGAGAGGACCUACAGAUCAUGCAGCUGAAGGAAGAUAUUGAGCGUGUAGCAGGACAACAACCUUACAUGGGAGAGCAAAUGCCAAUACGCUGGCUGCGAUUUGAACAAGAGCUGACUGAAAAAGCUGACUCGGGCACGAACUAUGCCUCGCUGAACCAGGUGAGGGAAAUGGCCCGAAAUCAUGGGGUGAAUACAGAUGAAGAGUUUCAUACCAUGCUAGCAUUCUACCAUGACCUUGGGCUUCUUAUUCAUUAUGCUGCCACUGAUGAUAGCACAGCCAUGCCAGAUGACGUGUUGGCAAACACCGUCGUGCUAUGUCCUCAGUGGCUAGCCCAGGCCUUCAAGCACAUUGUCUUGGACAGGCGGCCUAACGACCUGUGGGAUCUACAGGCAGAGUGUUGGGAGAGAUUAGAGAGAUCAGGCAUCCUGGACAAGACUCUCUUGCCAUCGUUGUUGCCUGGAAGUGCAGCUGAGCAUGCAGUUCUUCUCAGACUGAUGGAAAAACUAGAUUUACUUUGUCCAACGGCAGCAACACAGGACUCGCAAGAGGAAAACAGUAAUUAUAUUAUCCCUAUGCGACUCAGCAUCUGUCACAAUACCCGCAGCAUGUACAUGCAGACUAUGGAAGAUGCUGUGCUAUAUUUAGACUUCAACGGGUUUUUGCCAGAUGGCCUGUUUUUCCGCAUUCUGAAUCGUACAUUCCGUUGGUCGCAAACACUGGGUGGGAGGGAUCAGUGUCUCUCUCGAGAUGUUGCAAGAUUUUACCUUGACUCCAACCAUGAUCUUGUUCUGCAUAUGUCCCAGAGACACCUUCACAGAGUGAAGGUAGUAAUCAUGUUUGUGGGGCAACAAGAAGCCACUUCUCCUCGUCGUACUGGCAGACCACAGCCUGCUGCCUGUGCUUUGGUGCGCAAUUUCCUAGAGUCUACCCUGGCAGACCUGCGUCACCUGUGGAUGAAGCGUAUUGCAUACCAGGUGUGUGUGGUUUGCCCUUGCAAGCGUGUGUGUGAACUGCACAAGACUGAAGGAUGCAAUGAAGAGAAUUGUCUACAUUUUCUUCACCUGGAUGAAUGCCUUGCAAGCAAGGUGGUGUGCUGUGAACAUCGACGUGUGAAAACAGAUGGUGUACGUUCUUGGUUUCCCGAACCUCAGAAUCUUGGCUUUCAAGCACCCAUUGUGCCAGUUGUUCAGUUGGAGGAGAGCUAUGGAAACAUUGAAAAGCAAAUUCAGGGCCUACCUUUGUGGAUGAAGAGUGCCGCAAAACUGUUAAACAGCGGGGAUGAGAACCAGGACUGGAUGGCCCUGGCCCGACUCUUGGAAUAUAAGGCAUCACGCAUUGAACGCCUAACAGAAGAUGCCAAUCCAGCUCUGGCAUUUCUGAUGGACUGGGUGGUUUCCAAUGGCAACACAACCAUGGCUGUUGACCUGCUGACCUCUUGCCUUCAGCAGCUGGGACGUGAUGAUGUCAUCAUGUUGAUUCAGCGUGCUAGAGAGAAUGAGGGUCCUGCUCCUCAGGUGUUCCUCAGCUACCAGUGGGAAGCUCAAGAUCAGGUGCGCAGCAUUAGGGAUCAUUUGGAGCGGCUGGGCUACUCCUGCUGGAUGGAUGUGGGCCAAAUGGGUGGUGGUGAUCAUCUGCGUGCUAAAAUUGAGGAGGGGCUGCGCAAUUGUGGUGGUUGCCUGCCUGUCUGCGCGCUAUGUAGCAUCACAGUUGUGCAGCAGGGAGCUGUGUCUGGCUGACUUGCUGCAGAAGCCAAUCGUGCCAGUCAUGCUUCACCCCCUUCCCUGGCCCCCACCUGGUGCUGUGGCCCUUUGCCUGGCCCACUUAGUUUACAUCAAUAUGCAAGGUGUGGGAGGGCAUGGAGGAUCUGGAAUUCAUGCUGAUCUGCAAGACAAGUAUGCGGAAAUUGUUCAGCGUGUUGCCAUGUAUGCUACACCAACACUUACUCCAUAUGUCCGCCUCAGCAAGCUUACUUCCGGAAUCCAGAG